CUUAACACAUGCAAGUCGAGGGGCAUCAGGAAGAAAGCUUGCUUUCUUUGCUGGCGACCGGCGCACGGGUGAGUAACACGUAUCCAACCUGCCCUUUACUCGGGGAUAGCCUUUCGAAAGAAAGAUUAAUACCCGAUAGCAUAAUGAUUCCGCAUGGUUUCAUUAUUAAAGGAUUCCGGUAAAGGAUGGGGAUGCGUUCCAUUAGGUUGUUGGUGAGGUAACGGCUCACCAAGCCUUCGAUGGAUAGGGGUUCUGAGAGGAAGGUCCCCCACAUUGGAACUGAGACACGGUCCAAACUCCUACGGGAGGCAGCAGUGAGGAAUAUUGGUCAAUGGGCGGUAGCCUGAACCAGCCAAGUAGCGUGAAGGAUGAAGGCUCUAUGGGUCGUAAACUUCUUUUAUAUAAGAAUAAAGUGCAGUAUGUAUACUGUUUUGUAUGUAUUAUAUGAAUAAGGAUCGGCUAACUCCGUGCCAGCAGCCGCGGUAAUACGGAGGAUCCGAGCGUUAUCCGGAUUUAUUGGGUUUAAAGGGAGCGUAGGUGGACUGGUAAGUCAGUUGUGAAAGUUUGCGGCUCAACCGUAAAAUUGCAGUUGAUACUGUCAGUCUUGAGUACAGUAGAGGUGGGCGGAAUUCGUGGUGUAGCGGUGAAAUGUUUAGAUAUCACGAAGAACUCCGAUUGCGAAGGCAGCUCACUGGACUGCAACUGACACUGAUGCUCGAAAGUGUGGGUAUCAAACAGGAUUAGAUACCCUGGUAGUCCACACAGUAAACGAUGAAUACUCGCUGUUUGCGAUAUACAGUAAGCGGCCAAGCGAAAGCAUUAAGUAUUCCACCUGGGGAGUACGCCGGCAACGGUGAAACUCAAAGGAAUUGACGGGGGCCCGCACAAGCGGAGGAACAUGUGGUUUAAUUCGAUGAUACGCGAGGAACCUUACCCGGGCUUAAAUUGCAGUGGAAUGAUGUGGAAACAUGUCAGUGAGCAAUCACCGCUGUGAAGGUGCUGCAUGGUUGUCGUCAGCUCGUGCCGUGAGGUGUCGGCUUAAGUGCCAUAACGAGCGCAACCCUUAUCUUUAGUUACUAACAGGUUAUGCUGAGGACUCUAGAGAGACUGCCGUCGUAAGAUGUGAGGAAGGUGGGGAUGACGUCAAAUCAGCACGGCCCUUACGUCCGGGGCUACACACGUGUUACAAUGGGGGGUACAGAAGGCAGCUAGCGGGUGACCGUAUGCUAAUCCCAAAAGCCUCUCUCAGUUCGGAUCGAAGUCUGCAACCCGACUUCGUGAAGCUGGAUUCGCUAGUAAUCGCGCAUCAGCCACGGCGCGGUGAAUACGUUCCCGGGCCUUGUACACACCGCCCGUCAAGCCAUGGGAGCCGGGGGUACCUGAAGUACGUAACCGCAGGGAUCGUCCUAGGGUAAAACUGGUGACUGGGGCUAA
RNAcentral lists this ribosomal RNA (1434 nucleotides) under uncultured organism. RNAcentral describes it as "16S ribosomal RNA". It matches the Rfam family "Bacterial small subunit ribosomal RNA". The record is from RNAcentral.